GGGUCGUUACAGAUUGGUAUCAGAGCCCUAGGUUCACAUGAUCGGACCGAUAGAGACAGUGUCGGGCUCAUAGAGGUUAGAAGUGGUCAAGCACAAUAGGAAAUCAUGUCCACUAGGAUAGGGUGUUGAGUCCUAUCUGUUUUAUGCCAUGAGUUUUGCAUGUGUAUUACGGAUAUGUGAUGUUAUAUGCUAAAGUGUUAUGUUAUGUGUUGUUUUCCAGAGAGUAAAGAUGAGAGGAACUCGUCGAUCAGCUCGAUUGACUGGAGUCCCACCAGAGAGUGAAAGACCAGCUGCUCGUCCUCCUGCAUUGCCGAGGGCAAGGUCUCAGAG
This 330-nucleotide long non-coding RNA is filed under the name Manihot esculenta (cassava). Its description in RNAcentral is "long non-coding RNA (MESC_LNC002819)". Lineage: Eukaryota; Viridiplantae; Streptophyta; Magnoliopsida; Malpighiales; Euphorbiaceae. The record is from RNAcentral.